AUUGAACGCUGGCGGCAUGCCUUACACAUGCAAGUCGAACGGCAGCACGGGAGCAAUCCUGGUGGCGAGUGGCGAACGGGUGAGUAAUAUAUCGGAACGUGCCCAGUCGUGGGGGAUAACGUAGCGAAAGCUACGCUAAUACCGCAUACGAUCUAUGGAUGAAAGCGGGGGAUCGCAAGACCUCGCGCGAUUGGAGCGGCCGAUAUCAGAUUAGGUAGUUGGUGGGGUAAAAGCCUACCAAGCCUUCGAUCUGUAGCUGGUCUGAGAGGACGACCAGCCACACUGGAACUGAGACACGGUCCAGACUCCUACGGGAGGCAGCAGUGGGGAAUUUUGGACAAUGGGCGCAAGCCUGAUCCAGCAAUGCCGCGUGCAGGAUGAAGGCCUCGGUUGUAACU
Molecule: ribosomal RNA, 398 nt
Filed under: uncultured bacterium
Lineage: Bacteria
Description: bacterial SSU rRNA
Rfam family: Bacterial small subunit ribosomal RNA
Source: RNAcentral